Molecule: ribosomal RNA, 400 nt
Filed under: uncultured bacterium
Lineage: Bacteria
Description: bacterial SSU rRNA
Rfam family: Bacterial small subunit ribosomal RNA
Source: RNAcentral
UGGGGAAUUUUGGACAAUGGGGGCAACCCUGAUCCAGCCAUGCCGCGUGCGGGAAGAAGGCCUUCGGGUUGUAAACCGCUUUUGUCAGGGACGAAAAGCUCCGGAGUAAUAUGCCGGAGUGCUGACGGUACCUGAAGAAUAAGCACCGGCUAACUACGUGCCAGCAGCCGCGGUAAUACGUAGGGUGCGAGCGUUAAUCGGAAUUACUGGGCGUAAAGCGUGCGCAGGCGGUUGGGUAAGACAGAUGUGAAAUCCCCGGGCUUAACCUGGGAACUGCAUUUGUGACUGUCCGACUGGAGUACGUCAGAGGGGGGUGGAAUUCCACGUGUAGCAGUGAAAUGCGUAGAUAUGUGGAAGAACACCGAUGGCGAAGGCAGCCCCCUGGGACGCAACUGACGCU